This 864-nucleotide ribosomal RNA is filed under the name Pichia fermentans. Its description in RNAcentral is "eukaryotic LSU rRNA". The stretch from base 563 to 716 matches the Rfam family "5.8S ribosomal RNA". The record is from RNAcentral. Lineage: Eukaryota; Fungi; Ascomycota; Pichiomycetes; Pichiales; Pichiaceae.
GCUGACAAGGUUUCCGUAGGUGAACCUGCGGAAAGGAUCAUUAAAGAAAUUUAAUUGAUUUGUCUGAGCUCGGAGAGAGACAUCUCUGGGGAGGACCAGUGUAGACACUCAGGAGGCUCCUAAAAUAUUUUUUCUGCUGUGAAUGCCAUUUCUCCUGCCUGCGCUUAAGUGCGCGGUUGGUGGGUGUUCUGCAGUGGGGGAGGGAGCCGACAAAGACCUGGGAGUGUGCGUGGAUCUCUCUAUUCCAAAGGUGGUGGUUUUUGACGUGAAUAUCACUCUAUGAUUACUUCACACAGCGGAGUUUACUUUCAUAAUAUUAUUCUGUUCGUAGGGGGAACGCUCUCUUUCGGGGGCGAGUUCUCCCAGUUGAUGCAAACACAAACAUAUAUUUUUGGUAAGUCAUUCAGUCAGCUCAAGACAUCUGGAAGUAAAAAUCUAACAAGGUUUCCGUAGGUGAACCUGCGGAAGGAUCAUUACUGUGAUUUAUAUCUUAUACACAUGCGUGAGCGCACCAAACACCUAAAAUUGUAAUAAUACCAGUCAGUAAGUUUUAACAAAACAAAACUUUCAACAACGGAUCUCUUGGUUCUCGCAUCGAUGAAGAGCGCAGCGAAAUGCGAUACCUAGUGUGAAUUGCAGCCAUCGUGAAUCAUCGAGUUCUUGAACGCACAUUGCGCACCCAUGGUAUUCCAUGGGGCAUGCCUGUCUGAGCGUCGUUUCCUUCUUGCGCAAGCAGAGUUGAGAACAGGCUAUGCCUUUUUCGAAAUGGAACGUCGUGGACGAAGUGAAAUAAACUUUUAGCACGCUUUGGCCGCACGAACUCUUAACUAAGCUCGACCUCAGAUCAGGUAGGAAGCCCAGUCC